Molecule: long non-coding RNA, 1637 nt
Organism: Gambusia affinis (western mosquitofish)
Lineage: Eukaryota; Metazoa; Chordata; Actinopteri; Cyprinodontiformes; Poeciliidae
Exons: 3
Source: RefSeq, a predicted model, not a curated record
UGGUCCCAGUCCUGCGUCUGGUUCUGGUUCCAGUCCUGGUUCUGGUCACAAGGCUUUGUGUCCGUGGCAGCACAACACUCAGGUUGGAUAAGCUCAGUCUCUCAUGUCUUUGUUUGGGAUAAGGCAGCAGAGGGACUUUAUGUUCUUCAAGGCUCUGCAUCCUAAAUGGAUUUCUUCAGCGCCUCAGGUUUUGGUUUCCUGCUGUUUAAUGUGUUUUGUGUCGCCGGUUGGUUCCCGCUGUAAGGGAUGGACUUGAAGUUUGAGGAAUCUUCUUGUUGAUGGUCUCUCUCAACCUCCUCACCUCCUUCUUUCCUCCUCCAGGUUGCCAGAGCUGCUCCUUUGAUGAGCAACUUUCCUGCUUGGUGGUGGAUGUGAAAAAUCAUUUUUUAUUUUCUUUGUUUUUAGGUUUCUGAAGAACUUAGGGUCCAAACAAAAUCUUCUUAAUUACAGGUUUGGUCACUCUAGUUUUAUGGAACUUUUGCAACAAUGUAUAUGAUGGAAUGAAAUAUUAAGGCUUUUAUUUGGAAGAGUAUUUCUACGCCUUAUUUUAAGAGAAUUUGGACGAUCUAAUGCAGAGAUCUGCAGCAUGGAGCUCCAGAGCCACAAGUGUCUCUUUAGUGCUUCCAAGGUUCAAUAGUAACAAUAAUUGUGGCUAAAAAUGUUAAAGAACCAAAUGACUUUUUAAAAAUGAAUAUGUAAUGUAGCAGGAUGAAGCCUGCUUCAGGAUUGAAGUCACCUGGCACUUAAUCACCUGAGUGGGUGGGAGCAUAAAGGCAGACUCCCUAGCCUUCUCUCUUCAUGCCUGCAUCUGGUCACACGUCAGUUGAAUGUCUGCUUGGUUAAUUUGCAGUGAUCAAACUCAAAAUCCGAAAUAAAGCUGCCUGAAGCCUCCUGUUUAUACUGGGAUGUGGCAGUAAUUUACCCUUCCCAGUGCAACUUGGCAACAUAAACAGGCUUGUAUUGACAAGUGGAUCCUCCCGCUUUGGGGCCAGAAGGGGCUCUCUGGUUGAGGUGGAGUCAUCCAGCUCUGGUAGGUGACCAUGGUUUUCUCUGCCUUGUGCCAUGUUCCCAAAAUCACCUAUUAACCAAACUUAAUUUCAGGUCUAAAGCUGCUGCAGCUCGCUGGAAGCCCUGCUGCUUUGUUUUUACCUCCAGUUUGGCUGGGUGUGACUGCUGUGAUUUUUUUAGACCACUUAAUCAAACUGCUGAUUUUAAUAACUGGAUGUAUCAGAGGGUAACCUCAUUUUAGCACCCCUGUGUAAAUUGUAGUUUCUUUGUUUAACCCCACCCUUUUGUCUCCAGGCUGGGAGCUGAAGGCAGUGGGGGGGCAGCCAGAGGGACUGGACCAGUGUGCUGUGCGAGUGACCGGUGUCGGGAUUUCUUCACAGAUUGAAUGUUUAUUCACAAGUGCUUGGGGUGAUUUAUUUUGAUUUAUUAAUUUGUUUAGGUCCAGUUCCCACAUUUGGAUUGCCCUCCCCCCUGCUGGUAGGCCCCAGCACUGCACUCCCUUUCCUAUUGUGCUCCUUGAAUUUUACUGUUUUUUUUUAAAAGAGAGAAACGAUAAAGUUAAUUAUUUUUUGCUUUCAAAGAAGUCUUGCUCUCCUUGGGUACAAACCCGUCUAUUUCCUUGGGUGCAA